GAUGAACGCUGGCGGCGUGCCUAAUACAUGCAAGUCGAGCGAACGGACGAGAAGCUUGCUUCUCUGAUGUUAGCGGCGGACGGGUGAGUAACACGUGGAUAACCUACCUAUAAGACUGGGAUAACUUCGGGAAACCGGAGCUAAUACCGGAUAAUAUUUUGAACCGCAUGGUUCAAAAGUGAAAGACGGUCUUGCUGUCACUUAUAGAUGGAUCCGCGCUGCAUUAGCUAGUUGGUAAGGUAACGGCUUACCAAGGCAACGAUGCAUAGCCGACCUGAGAGGGUGAUCGGCCACACUGGAACUGGAACACGGUCCAGACUCCUACGGGAGGCAGCAGUAGGGAAUCUUCCGCAGUGGGCGAAAGCCUGACGGAGCAACGGCGCGUGAGUGAUGAAGGUCUUCGGAUCGUAAAACUCGGUUAUUAGGGAAGAACAUAUGUGUAAGGAACUGUGCACAUCUUGACGGUACCUAAUCAGAAAGCCACGGCUAACUACGUG
RNAcentral lists this ribosomal RNA (497 nucleotides) under uncultured bacterium. RNAcentral describes it as "partial 16S ribosomal RNA". It matches the Rfam family "Bacterial small subunit ribosomal RNA", at positions 28 to 507 of the family's 1533-position model. The record is from RNAcentral.